Nicotiana tabacum (common tobacco) is the source of this 439-nucleotide non-coding RNA. The record is from RefSeq and is a predicted model, not a curated record. Lineage: Eukaryota; Viridiplantae; Streptophyta; Magnoliopsida; Solanales; Solanaceae.
AUUUGUUUGGCCCAAAUUGGUCCAUUGGUGUGGAGAACAGUGGCUUGUUUGAGAUAUUUAUCAUCCAAGGCCAAUGUCAAUUUCACCUUUUCUCAUCUCAUUCAUCUAUACCAUCCCAACUUAAUACGCCAUGGGGUUUUCACCUUAACUGCAAGGAGCAAAAAAGUUUUGGUAAACCCUGAGGAUGACAAAGAUCGUGGAUGGUAUAUCCGUUACGUUGCUGUCCGUACAGUGGAUUUGAUUGGCGAAACAAAUAUUCCCUUUCCUGAGAAGUGGAAUUUUGAACAAACCAUGGGAGAUGUGGAACCUAUUCCCAACUUUCGUGGUUGAGUAGACUCACUUUUGAAGAUUGCUACUAGGGAGCAGAGAACUUGGAAAUCAAUUUCUUCUUUACAUGGCUGGAAAGUCAAAACACAUGGAUUUGGCAUUAGAGGAAUGA